GCCGAAGUGGUGGAACUGGCAGACACGCAGCGUUCAGGGCGCUGUGGGCGCAAGCCCAUGAGGGUUCAAGUCCCUCCUUCGGCA
Molecule: transfer RNA, 84 nt
Filed under: Patescibacteria group bacterium
Lineage: Bacteria
Description: tRNA-Leu
Rfam family: tRNA
About the family: Transfer RNA (tRNA) molecules are approximately 80 nucleotides in length. Their secondary structure includes four short double-helical elements and three loops (D, anti-codon, and T loops).
Source: RNAcentral